UAAGCCCAAGGGUUCCUGGGUAAGUUCAUCUUCCCAGGGUUAGUCGGUUCCUAAGCCGAGGCCGAAAGUCGUAGGUGAUGGAAAGCUGGUUAAUAUUCCAGCACCACCAUGGAUAACGUUGAAUGCAGGAAGGACGGAGGAGGGUAGCUGAGCCGAAACGUGGAUUGUUCGGUUCAACCCUGUAGGGUGUCUCCUUUGGACCCCAAGUGGGACAAACGAGGAGACUAUAGCCCGAGGGGUCAUGAGGAGGACGCCUGGCGUCCAUGAACUCAGUGAUCCCACACUCCCGAGAAAAGCUCCGGCAGGAGUUACUGUGGUGACCGUACCGCAAACCGACACAGGUGGGCGGGGAGAGUAUCCCAAGGCGCUUGAGAGAACCCUCUCUAAGGAACUCGCAAAUUGACACCGUAACUUCGGGAGAAGGUGUGCCGGCGUUAUGUGAAGGAUGAACAUCUGGAGCAGAAGCCGGUUGCAGAGAAACGGGGGUAGCGACUGUUUACCAAAAACACAGCACUCUGCUAACUCGUAAGAGGAUGUAUAGGGUGUGACGCCUGCCCGGUGCCGGAAGGUUAAGAGGAGAUGUCAACCGCAAGGUGAAGCAUUGAAUCGAAGCCCCGGUAAACGGCGGCCGUAACAAUAACGGUCCUAAGGUAGCGAAAUUCCUUGUCGGGUAAGUUCCGACCUGCACGAAUGGCGUAACGACUUCCCCACUGUCUCGGAGAGGGACUCAGCGAACUAGCACUAGGGGUGAAGAUACCCUUUACCUGCGGCAGGACGGAAAGACCCCGUGAACCUUUACUGCAACUUGACACUGAUUCCUGGAUUAGUUUGCGUAGGAUAGGUGGGAGGCUGUGAAACCGGGACUCUGGUCUCGGUGGAGCCAACCUUGAAAUACCACCCUGGCUAGUCUAAGAAUCUAACCUGCUUCCGUUAACCGGAAGAGGGACAAUGUCUGGUGGGCAGUUUGACUGGGGCGGUCGCCUCCAAAAGAGUAACGGAGGCGCGCGAAGGUUCCCUCAGCCUGAUUGGAAACCAGGCGUAGAGUGUAAUGGCAUAAGGGAGCUUGACUGCGAGACAAACAAGUCGAGCAGGUGCGAAAGCAGGUCAUAGUGAUCCGGUGGUCCCGAAUGGAAGGGCCAUCGCUCAACGGAUAAAAGGUACUCCGGGGAUAACAGGCUUAUCACGCCCAAGAGUUCAUAUCGACGGCGUGGUUUGGCACCUCGAUGUCGGCUCAUCGCAUCCUGGGGCUGAAGUAGGUCCCAAGGGUUUGGCUGUUCGCCAAUUAAAGCGGUACGCGAGCUGGGUUCAAAACGUCGUGAGACAGUUUGGUCCCUAUCCGCCGUGGGCGCAGGAAACUUGAGAGGAGCUGACCCUAGUACGAGAGGACCGGGUUGGAUUGACCUCUGGUGUUCCGGUUGUUCUGCCAAGAGCAUUGCCGGGUAGCUAUGUCGAGAACGGAUAACCGCUGAAAGCAUCUAAGCGGGAAGCCAACCUCAAGAUUAGGUUUCCCCAGGGCGCAAGCCCUCUGAAGGCCCCUUGUAGACCACGAGGUAAUAGGUCGGGUGUGGAAGCGCAGUAAUGCGUGGAGCUAACCGAUACUAAUCGGCCGUGAGGCUUGACC
RNAcentral lists this ribosomal RNA (1621 nucleotides) under metagenome. Its description in RNAcentral is "bacterial LSU rRNA". It matches the Rfam family "Bacterial large subunit ribosomal RNA", at positions 1340 to 2925 of the family's 2925-position model. The record is from RNAcentral.